UACGUAGGGUGCGAGCGUUAAUCGGAAUUACUGGGCGUAAAGUGUGCGCAGGCGGCAGAGCAAGUCGAGUGUGAAAGCCCCGGGCUUAACUUGGGAAUUGCGCUCGAAACUACUUUGCUGGAGUGUGGCAGAGGAAGGUGGAAUUCCACGUGUAGCGGUGAAAUGCGUAGAGAUGUGGAAGAACACCAAUGGCGAAGGCAGCCUUCUGGGCCAACACUGACGCUCAUGCACGAAAGCGUGGGGAGCAAACAGG
This 253-nucleotide ribosomal RNA is filed under the name uncultured bacterium. Its description in RNAcentral is "partial 16S ribosomal RNA". It matches the Rfam family "Bacterial small subunit ribosomal RNA", at positions 524 to 776 of the family's 1533-position model. The record is from RNAcentral.